GUCCACGCCGUAAACGAUGUCUACUAGCCGUUGGGGAACUUGAUUUCUUAGUGGCGCAGCUAACGCGAUAAGUAGACCGCCUGGGGAGUACGGUCGCAAGAUUAAAACUCAAAUGAAUUGACGGGGGCCCGCACAAGCGGUGGAGCAUGUGGUUUAAUUCGAAGCAACGCGAAGAACCUUACCUACUCUUGACAUCCUGCGAACUUGGUAGAGAUACCUUGGUGCCUUCGGGAACGCAGUGACAGGUGCUGCAUGGCU
Molecule: ribosomal RNA, 258 nt
Filed under: uncultured bacterium
Lineage: Bacteria
Description: partial 16S ribosomal RNA
Rfam family: Bacterial small subunit ribosomal RNA
Source: RNAcentral